CGCAGAUCUCCCGUGUCUCCGGCGGUAAGCGUAGCUCAUCUCCCCUGGUGUGGAAGCACGGAUCUCUCAUGCCUAAACCUGCAAACUACUGGGGCAGACACUUGCCUGGAGGCAAAGAAGGAAGAGUGAUGAAGACCCGGCUGUGUGGGGGCCCUGGGAAGGGACUCUUCAGGCUCCCUGCACCCAUGUGAAGGAAAGCGUUCUGCUCAUUGCUUUAGCAGACUGCACAUGGGGAGAGGUUGUUUAUCCUGCUAAAUGAGUCAUCGGUAUCCUCUCCUGUACUCAGCCAUGGAAUGGCAGGCUUGGAAGCAAUCUCAAGGCUCCUCCAGCUCGGCCUCUUCAUUUUACCAGUGGGAC
This is a long non-coding RNA of Fukomys damarensis (Damara mole-rat), 357 nucleotides long. RefSeq lists it as uncharacterized. The record is from RefSeq and is a predicted model, not a curated record. NCBI's taxonomy places the organism in Eukaryota, Metazoa, Chordata, Mammalia, Rodentia, Bathyergidae. The transcript has 3 exons.